This 221-nucleotide ribosomal RNA is filed under the name uncultured bacterium. RNAcentral describes it as "partial 16S ribosomal RNA". It matches the Rfam family "Bacterial small subunit ribosomal RNA", at positions 96 to 334 of the family's 1533-position model. The record is from RNAcentral.
UGGCGCACGGGUGCGCAACGCGUGGGAAUCUGCCCUUGGGUUCGGAAUAACUUCGGGAAACUGAAGCUAAUACCGGAUGAUGACGUAAGUCUAAAGAUUUAUCGCCUGAGGAUGAGCCCGCGUAAGAUUAGCUAGUUGGUGGGGUAAAGGCCUACCAAGGCGACGAUCUUUAGCUGGUCUGAGAGGAUGAUCAGCCACACUGGGACUGAGACACGGCCCAG